GAUGAAGAACGCAGCGAAAUGCGAUACGUAAUGUGAAUUGCAGAUUUCAGUGAAUCAUCGAAUCUUUGAACGCACAUUGCGCCCCUUGGUAUCCCGAGGGGCAUGCCUGUUCGAGCGUCAUUUCACCACUCAAGCCUGGCUUGGUGUUGGGCGACGUCCUCUUUGGGGACGCGCCUCGAAACGCUCGGCGGCGUGGCACCGGCUUUAAGCGUAGCAGAAUCUUUCGCUUUGGAAGUCGGGGCCCCGUCUGCCGGAAGACCUGCUCGCAAGGUUGACCUCGGAUCAGGCAGGGAUACCCGCUGAACUUAAGCAUAUCAAUAAGCGGAGGA
This 329-nucleotide unclassified non-coding RNA is filed under the name soil metagenome. Its description in RNAcentral is "partial contains 5.8S ribosomal RNA, internal transcribed spacer 2, and large subunit ribosomal RNA". The stretch from base 1 to 120 matches the Rfam family "5.8S ribosomal RNA", at positions 35 to 154 of the family's 154-position model. The record is from RNAcentral.